RNAcentral lists this transfer RNA (57 nucleotides) under Clostridioides difficile. RNAcentral describes it as "tRNA-Thr". It matches the Rfam family "tRNA", at positions 9 to 63 of the family's 71-position model. Rfam says of the family: Transfer RNA (tRNA) molecules are approximately 80 nucleotides in length. Their secondary structure includes four short double-helical elements and three loops (D, anti-codon, and T loops). Further hydrogen bonds mediate the characteristic L-shaped molecular structure. tRNAs have two regions of fundamental functional importance: the anti-codon, which is responsible for specific mRNA codon recognition, and the 3' end, to which the tRNAs corresponding amino acid is attached (by aminoacyl-tRNA synthetases). tRNAs cope with the degeneracy of the genetic code in two manners: having more than one tRNA (with a specific anti-codon) for a particular amino acid; and 'wobble' base-pairing, i.e. permitting non-standard base-pairing at the 3rd anti-codon position. The record is from RNAcentral. Lineage: Bacteria; Bacillati; Bacillota; Clostridia; Peptostreptococcales; Peptostreptococcaceae.
GGCUCAACGGUAGAGCAGCUGACUUGUAAUCAGCAGGUUGUAGGUUCGAUUCCUAUC